This is a long non-coding RNA of Manacus vitellinus (golden-collared manakin), 379 nucleotides long. RefSeq lists it as uncharacterized. Lineage: Eukaryota; Metazoa; Chordata; Aves; Passeriformes; Pipridae. The transcript has 3 exons. The record is from RefSeq and is a predicted model, not a curated record.
GUUACAUCCCCCUGCAGCUCUCUCUUGGGCUAAACAAGCCAAAUCCCUCCACUAUUUCACAAGUCACAGCAUCUAAGGCUUCCACUGAUUAUUACAUCACAAAUCAGUUUUGACUUUAUCUGGCAGGUGGUUAAAAUCUCCCAUACAAAUGAGGAACUGUGAUCCAGAGGCUCCCUCAGGUUUUAGAGAGAUUUCAUCCACUUUCUUGCUGUGCUGGUUUGACCCCAGCUGAAGGCCAGGUGUCCACCAAAGCCACUCUAUUACUCCCUCCUCGACUGGACAGGCAGGAGUAAGAUGGCUAAGCAGCAGCACUCAUUAAAGAAGCAUGAGAUUCCCCAGGGCUAUUGAAUCAAGCUUGAAAUAAAAAAUGUCUUAAUCA